GACGAACGCUGGCGGCGUGCUUAACACAUGCAAGUCGAACGGAAAGGCCCUGCUUGCAGGGUACUCGAGUGGCGAACGGGUGAGUAACACGUGGGUGAUCUGCCCUGCACUUCGGGAUAAGCCUGGGAAACUGGGUCUAAUACCGGAUAGGAGCCAUCUUUAGUGUGAUGGUUGGAAAGUUUUUUCGGUGUAGGAUGAGCUCGCGGCCUAUCAGCUUGUUGGUGGGGUAAUGGCCUACCAAGGCGGCGACGGGUAGCCGGCCUGAGAGGGUGGACGGCCACAUUGGGACUGAGAUACGGCCCAGACUCCUACGGGAGGCAGCAGGGGGGAAGAUUGCACAAUGGGCGCAAGCCUGAUGCAGCGACGCCGCGGGGGGGAUGACGGCCUUCGGGUUGGAAACUCGUUUCGCUAGGGACGAAGCUUUUUGUGACGGUACCUAGAGAAGAAGCACCGGCUAACUACGUG
RNAcentral lists this ribosomal RNA (465 nucleotides) under uncultured bacterium. RNAcentral describes it as "partial 16S ribosomal RNA". It matches the Rfam family "Bacterial small subunit ribosomal RNA", at positions 28 to 507 of the family's 1533-position model. The record is from RNAcentral.